AUUGAACGCUGGCGGCGUGCCUAACACAUGCAAGUCGAGCGGCAGCGCGGGAGCAAUCCUGGCGGCGAGCGGCGGACGGGUGAGUAACGCUUGGGAAUCUGCCUAUUAGUGGGGGACAACCCGGGGAAACUCGGGCUAAUACCGCAUACGCACUACGGUGGAAAGCCGGGGACCGCAAGGCCUGGCGCUAACAGAUGAGCCCAAGUCGGAUUAGCUAGUUGGUAGGUAACGGCCACCAAGGCGACGAUCCGUAACUGGUCUGAGAGGACGACCAGUCACACCGGAACUGAGACACGGUCCGGACUCCUACGGGAGGCAGCAGUGGGGAAUAUUGGACAAUGGGGGAAACCCUGACCCAGCGACGCCGCGUGGGUGAAGAAGGCCUGCGGGUUGUAAAGCCCUUUCAGUGGGGAAGAAAAGCCUCGACCUAACACGUCGGGGUCUUGACGUAACCCAUAGAAGAAGCACCGGCUAACUCUGUGCCAGCCGCCGCCGUAAG
RNAcentral lists this ribosomal RNA (499 nucleotides) under uncultured bacterium. RNAcentral describes it as "bacterial SSU rRNA". It matches the Rfam family "Bacterial small subunit ribosomal RNA", at positions 29 to 524 of the family's 1533-position model. The record is from RNAcentral.